This is a non-coding RNA of Peromyscus maniculatus bairdii (prairie deer mouse), 8475 nucleotides long. The record is from RefSeq and is a predicted model, not a curated record. NCBI's taxonomy places the organism in Eukaryota, Metazoa, Chordata, Mammalia, Rodentia, Cricetidae.
GCAACUGGAGGGAAGAGAAGGUGAAUGUACAUGAGUGGAUAGGACAAGCACAUUUCCAUCAUUACUGAGGAAGCACCACCUUUGCUCAGCACUGUGUUCCACAUUUCAAGUGUUAACAUAUGCAUAUCCUGUUCUAAGAUAGAAUUCCUGAUGCAGCUUGCAAGCUGGUCAAAAAGUCAGUUUCACAAGUAUGAUUUGAAAACAUUUCUGUGCUGUAGACUAGAAGAGUACACAGAAGAGAUGAUCUGAGCACAUUGUUUUUGUGUUGAUGUGAAGACACCAGGGGAGAUAUUUGGGGGGGGGAACUUUUUGUCAUGCUGGUAAAAAGGGCCAAUAUUUUGGAAAACUGAAAGAGCCACUCGAUGCUGUAGGACACAACAAAGCAAAAACUACUGACAGCAAAGCACACAGAUCAUCAGAUUAACACUGACCAAGUACACAGUUGCAAGGCUGUCUUUAGAUUGUGGAUUUAGUGGAUCCACAGAAUACCAGAAUAAACUCCUCCUAAGUCAACUUUCAACAUGCAGUGAGUAGAUGAAAGUGAGGUUUUACUAUUGGUAAAGUCUGUUUCAAAUUGAAAAAGCAAGUAGGCACUGUUCAUUUUAGAUGACUGACAGAAUUAAGUAAGAAAUGAGUAAUAAUAAAUUGACACAAUUUGGGAAAGUGAAAGAGAGAACUUGGCCAGCAUGGAUGGAGGAAGGGCCUCUAUGGUCUAGUCAGGGGUCUGGAAAAGGCUUAUGUGCACAAAAUACUAGAAACUGGAGCAUUAGAAAGCUGUUUUGGGGUAUGAGCAAGAGAAGAAAGGAGACUCAAAUGUAAGCAUGAAAUUGUGGGCAAUAAGAGGUAUUUGUUCAGUCCGUCCAUCCAUCCAUCCAUCCAUCCAUCCAUCCAUCCAUCCAUCCAUCCAUCCAUCCAUCCAUCCAUCCACUCACCCAUCCACCCAUCCCACUGACAUUUAAGUAAAGGUAUAAGGCAAUGUAGUAGACACAAAAAUGAGUUAGAUAUGACCUCUGUUUCCAAAGCCCAUUGUCAAGGAGUUAAAUUAGUGUGAUUAUAUAUACAAUUAAUCUAUUCAUGGCACUACAAUUCAAUGCCAUAGAUUCUUUAGUACAAAUUUUAAUAGAGUGCUAUGUGAAGUUGCAGGAUUAGGAGCCUGGGGAUAGAUUGAAGAGAGACAAAAUGAAUGGUAGAGUAGACCACAGACUGGGGCAGACUAGUUAGAUUUGAUGUAGAAGCCAAGAGAGAAGGCAUUUAAAAGUAUUGAGGAUGUGACACUUAGGGAUGGGUUGAGGAGGAAUGUGUGAAUGACACCUUUGUGGCACAUUUUUUAAUUAAAUGAUUUGGUUGAUACAAUGAGGACUUUCAGGGAACCUUCCAAGAGCUCCAUUAAAAGCCAGGGUUAGUAAUGCAUCAGUAAAGCUAAAGAAGAGACAGACAUUGGGAGACAAGAGGGCAGGGCAGAGGGACCCUUCCAGGGCAAGAGCAGAACUCCACUAUCAUAACGAUUACAGCCUCAUCAAACAGGAAAGGCAAAAACCAAAAGGAACAAAGAAAACAAAACCUGAAGACCUCUGUUAAAGAGGCUUAAAAAAUGAAGCAUAUUUUAUAAGGACUGGAUAAAAUGAGAGUCAACUGCUAAGGAGAUAAGUAUGAAAAGAAUACAGAAUUGGAAAAAAAAUCAAUGCUGGAAGCUAAAUAGGGAGAGGGAUGUACAGUUGGGCUGGGGACUGAGUGUGUAGUAAACACAUGUCAGGGUGGAAAGUUGAAGUUAAUCACUGAGGGGAAGACUGGUUAAAAAAAAAAAGAAGAGAUACAGAUCUGAAGAGAUUCCUAGGUAGUUGAAGGAAAGGGUGUGCCACGAGAGCAAAAAGGAGAGGGUUAAAGGAACGGAUCUGCAAUAGGCUGCCUGGAAUGAUCCACAGAGUCUAGACUUAGCUGAGAACACAGUACACAGGAAGUUAAGGAGGAUGAAGUGUUACCCGGUGAAUGUAAAAAAGAAAGAAAAAAAUGAGUGAUGGAGAUGGAUGUUACUUAGCAGAUAGUGCUGAAUCCAUGGGAGCACUACACACAGAACAGGAGGGAUGCUAAAAACUAAGGCUAUCUCUAGAUUAUCUCUAGAUUAAAGGAGGAGCAACAGUACAGAAUUAUCAACAUUAAAGUUAACCACAGAUGUGAAAGAGCCAGCACUAAGGAACGACAGACAUCAAAUUAAAGUUAAGACUGUAUUCGUGGGCCUCAAAUCAGGAAGGAAUGAAAAUAAGAGGUAGACUGGAAGCAAAGGGAAGGAAAGCAUGCCUCUUAGAGGGCCAACAAGCAGAGAAAGUGGAGACUAAAGAUCUCAAAUGCAAAGUCCUGUCAGAGCUCAAUGUAAAUCUACUUGGUCACAUUUGGGCAUUAGAGACCAUGGCGAACAGUAUGAGGAAGAAGGACCUGAACAGGAAGGGUUGGAGGGAAAUUGGAGGAUUUGGUUGUUAUGGAAGGGAAAGUUUACCGAUUAAGAUGCCAUAGUGCUGGUAGAAAGUGGCUGGUGACAACUUUAUGGAGACACUAGGAUUGCUUAGUGGAGGGUGUGGGCAGGUAGCUUGUGCUGAGAAUAGACUGCUAUUACAAGAUGGAGAAUGAGUAAAGAUUAUGAGGAAGCAAAUAUAUCUCAAGAAUUCUGCAUCCAUGUUGACUAUAGUGCAGGUGGAAAUGGAAAAGAUGACAGAUGCAGAUUACUGCAUAGUGCGCCAUUAAAACUGCUGAUAUGCUUUGUGGAUAUUGGCUGACUCUGAGUGACAUACUUAGGGAGCCUUGUAUGAAAGGAUCAGAGAAGACAGGUUGGAUUCUGAAAAAAAAGUAAAUAGUAUUUUGAAUGAAGGACAAAGUGAGUACAAAGGGUGGGUAGGGAAGGGCAUUGUAGAGGGCCAAAAUGGGGAAUGCUGAAGAAAAAUGACUGAGUUGAAUUUGUAGGAGAGAAACUGUGUUAUGCUAGAUUGCAACCAAAGAUGGAGAGAAGACUGUGGCUAUGAAACAGUGUUAUGAAGGAGUAUCAUCUGCUGGUUUCUCCUUGAAUGGCAUCUGAAGCCACCAAUGUGACUCACAGACCUAAGGGUUGAGGAGUAUAAAUGGGAUGGCUCUGAGCUAUGGCCAAUUGCAGGAACCUUCUCCAAGUCUGGACUAAACCAUAUUGUACUGACUACCAUGGAGGAGGAGGAGGAGGAGGAGGAGGAGGAGGAGAGAGACUGGGAGUUAUCUGAAGGAGAGUUAAUGGUAGGAGCAGCAUGGCAGAUAGCAUGGUAAUGGUGGUCCCCAGAAUGGAACCUGUGAGACUGAAAUAAUGAGGGUCUCAGGCUGGCUGUUGGAUCUUAAAGCCAGACUUUCAAAAGUGGCAUACAUGUGUACUGGGAAAAGAGUGAGGGCAUUAAAUUAGGGGAGGCUUUGGUGGGUGUUUUCAUUCAAAGGAACAGGAAGAGAUGGACUAGGCUGGACCUUGAUAAAAUGACACCAGGAGAAGUCUCUGAGUAGUGUGUCCACAGAAUGGAUGAAUAAUAUUGGGAGAGAGUGGCUGAAGAUUAUGAUGGGAACCCAACUCAAAAGUAAAACUUCAUUUUUAUUUCCAAGGAGAAAUGGGGGAUGGACAUACAUAUAAUUAAGACAUCGGAGUACAAAUUGAUACAUGUGUGCCAUGUAGAGUGCUGCACCAAAGUUCCUCUGCUGUACGAAGGGUUUUUGUUCUUGUUUCGGAAGAGGGGAGACAUCUAGAGAGAGAACCUGGCUAGACAGCCUUGUUCAAGAGGAACACAGGUGGUUUCUACCAGAGGGCUGAUCCUGUUUUAGGACAAGCCAGAGAGCGAGGAGGGAAGGAGUGGGAAAACAACAGGUGAAAAUAAAUUACGGCAGGCCCUGUCCAGGAGGAGAAACCCCUUAUUUGGGUCCCAAGACAUGAAGAAGAGAGGUUAAUGCCUCUGAAACCUAGAGAAUGAUUCCGAUGAGAGAGACCAUGGAGCUGUAGCACAGUUUCCAGAACUAAACUCUGAACACAAUGAGGAGUACAUGCCCAGAAAAGAGAGCAGGAAGGAGUGCUUGAUGCCCGGGUGUGAACUUGGUAACUUAAGGGCUCGGUGGAAGGGAAGGGAAGAGCAGUGUUUCUUAACUGUGUUCUAAGUAUAGAGUCACAGCCCUACUGAACCUGAAAUUCAGGUGGGCUCAGCAGAUCAGAUGAGGCAUGCAGAAUGUUUAAGAUAUGGUAGGGAGAGACAGGAAAGUUGGAGGCUGGAUUGGCUGGGGACUGUUAAGGAAUCUUGUAGAGCCAACUGAAGGUGAGAGAAGUGAGACACAAUCAGGAGAACAUAUUUAUGGGGUGGGUGUGCUUGAAUGGCGAUAAAGUAAGCCAACUGAGGUCGUUUAGAACACUAAGGUUCAGAGUGUCAAAAGCGACAGGCCACAAAGAGGAAUGCAAAUAUUACUAGCUCUGUAGUACACAGUCUAAAAGUAGUUAGCAUGUAAAGUUCUUGUAUACACAUGCACACGCGCACGUGCGCGCGCACACAUCACCACCACCACCACCACCACCACCACCACCACCACCACCACCACCACCACCACGUGCUUAGGAAGCCUUGUACUAGUUAGUUACACUCAGAUGCUAAUGCUAAUGAUUCCCUUGUACAUAAGCCUGCUUGGGGUAGUAUAGUUUUUUUUUUUUUUUUUUUAUGGCCAUAGUAUUUAUCAGUAGGCUCAUUUCCUAUGAUCAAGGACCGUAAAAAAAAUGCUGUGAAAUAUUCCUGUCAUCUUCCCAAUAAUAUGGGCGAGAUAACUCAAGAAACUCAUCAGUUGGUAAGUAAAUAUUUCCAAAAUAUUUAUUUAUAUUCUAUGUAUUUAGUAUGUAAGGUAUUACAACUUGUUACUUAUGUUAAAAAUAUCACUGUUUCAUCCUAUAGUGUGAGUAUGGGAUCAUUUUGUACUACAUAAAAAUGUGUCUCUUAUUGAACACUGCAUGUAAGAUAAUUGGACAACUGUUUUUAAACAUGGUUUAUAUUGUAAAAUAGUCUUAAAAUUUUUCAUUAUCAUUUUAAUGGUGGUUUGAAAAUGUGCUUUUUUUUUCCCCCAAAAGGGAGCUGGAUGAAGGCCUUUUCAAACUCAGAAUGUAUUGUAUUACUAUUAAAAGAGUAUGUGUAUGGGGGGGGCGUGGUUAAUGAUAAUUGCUGGUAUUUACAAAGCAGUUGAGUCAGGAAGAAGGUAGUUAUUAAAGGAAGAAAGGGAAGGAGAUCAAACGAUAACUAAAAACAGGACAUGAGAGGGAGGGGUAAUGUUCAGGGAAGUGUAUACAAAGGAAGGUACAGUUGAUAGAAAAGUUAAGAAUUAGGUUGUAUGUGUGUGUAUGUGUGUGUCCUAGGGGUGGUGGCGCACACCUUUAAUCCCAGCACUCAGGAGGCAGAGGCAGGUGGAUCUCUGAGUUUGAGGCCAGCCUGGGCUACAGAGAGAGUUCCAGGACAGCCAGGACUAAAUAGAGAAACCCUGUCUCUAAAACCCAAACCAAACAAAGAAUUUGGUUGUGUAGCCGUGAAACAAAUCGAGUGGCAGGGAUCCUGCUAAGGAGCGACCAGAGAACCAGAGCAACUGAGCACAGUCUAGGAAAAUGGGAACUAUGAAAACAGAUUGAGGGAUGAUAAAUUAGUCAUCCCUAACACAGGCAGAAUAGGAACAGGUAAAAAAGCAAGGGAAAGGCCAUGUGAAGAGGACAUGCUGGGAAAAAAAGUCUUGGCACUGUAAUUACAUCAAAAGGAAUAGAAUGUAGGUGGAAGCUAAGUAUGUUAUGGGUUUGAUAAUAGAGGGUUAGUUAGUGUCACAAGACCUUCAAGAGUGAGGUUAGCAACCAACAACAACCAAAGGGGGCAGCAGAAUCAGAGUAUGAGACAAGAAAAGGACCAGAGCACAAGAGACCAAGUACACUGACGGGAAAGAAGCAAGUAGGAGACAGUCAUGUAGGGCAGGAUGGAAAGGAGGGUGGAGUAUAGUUAAGUCUAUUCAAACAAGGGGCACUGGGGAAGUGAGCAAAGACACUGAAUGAAGCUGGGGAAAGGAGCCCAGAGAACACAGGGGAAAGAGCAUAUCCAUGCCAUGAUGACGACGACGACAACGACGACGACAAUGACGACGACACCAGAAAGAUGUUAGAAAGCAGUGAUGGAAGGAGGUGGAAGGGGAGGUAAACUGAAAAAUCCAAGGAAAAAACAGAUACUGGACCUCUAAAUUUUAAAGAGGGAAAAAAAAGUGGAAAUGAGGAGUAAAAUAUCAAUCAUAUAGUGCAGACUAUGGUUAGAACAUACUGCAUGUGAAUGGAUGAACAGGGAAGGGAAGGAGGUGUCUCCAAAAGGAGGGUUCAGGGUCUAUACAAGAAGGGAGGCACUGAGAUGCUUGAGUGAGGACAUCAAGCAGUCACCACCAGAAAGCUAGGGCAUGGAAUGGAAACCAAAGGCCAGGAAAGACAGGGGCCAUCCACAGCAGUGAUUCUUAACCAGGGGUGGGGGGUUGGGGGUUUCCCCUGGGGGGGGGGGGCGGGCAUGGCCCCCAGGUGGCCUAUCAGAACAUCAGAGGCAGAGCAGUGAUCUGCUCACAAAUACCAACAAUAACACCAUCCAGAAGGUGUUCUGAUAGGCUACUGGGGGGCCAUGCACCCCUGGGUGAGAAUCACUGGUGGAGGGGAUGGGAUGGAGAUGGCUACAGAGAAGGAAGGGUGAGCAGAUGGAGCCUGUGAGUCCAGGCAGAUGGAGGCAUCAGAUCAUGACUGUCAGACUUGGGAGAAAAGGUGCUGUCAGUGCAGGGGGAUGACAGUGAGCAGCUGGAUGCAGUGCACAAGGAAGGUCUGAGGAAGGAUGAGAGCUGUGUGAGGGUUUGCUGUCAGGGGCAGGGAGUGCAGUGCCAACACUGUGGUUCCUGCUGAGGACUGCGGUGGAGGAGUGAGUGAGGCUGAUAGAGAUGAUGAUGCAUAGGGGUGAUGGGGGAGUGUGUGGCUGGUUGUUCACGGAGAGGCAGGUAGGGAAACUCAGGGAAGGAAAUGAAUGCUAAAGGAGAAGGAGGAAAAGGAGUCAUGGACUGGAGUGCCCAGGAGAAGCACUGUCAGCCCAGGAGCAGGUCAGAGUGGGGUGGGCACCUCUGUAUGGAUAUGGGGUGACCUGUGUGGGAACAAGAAUGAGGGCAGAAGACAAAAGCAUGCAUGGACAGGAACAUAGUAUAGAAUGAAAGACCCAGUUUUCCUCGGCAUGUUUUCAGAAGAAUGUGAAAGGCAAUGUGAUAUGUGUCACCUUGUGCCACAGAUGUAGGAUGCUGAGAGGAUACCAUAGUUCAGGCCAUGAAGAGGCAAACUUUGAGUGCCUAGGUAUGGGAGUAUAAUGGUACAGUAGGACUCUAGCUUAGUGAAUGCAAUCCAACACUGGGCACCAAGGGUAGCUCAGGAAGGGAGGACUCAUGAAAAUGUCUACUACAUCAGCUAGAGGAUUCCUAACAGCAGCACAAAGCAUAGUGGCAAGAUAGUUCUUAAUUAUGCACGAAAGAGAAAAGCAGGAGAAAUGGUUACUCAGGGCCCAGAAGUAAGAGGUUAGAGGUUUUCAACCCAAGGGAGACCUGUGAUAGCUAAGAUGUUAUUUGGCAAGAAUGAGAAAGAACAAAAUGAAGGAGCCCAGCAGGAAGGAAAGAAAAGGCAUGUUGAGAGGGUUACAGAGGGCAUUACAUCUAGGAAGACAUGGCCAAGACCAUGGGCAUGGGAAUGGAUAGGGAACAUGCAGAAACUCUGUCUUAAUGCAGGCAGAGUGCAUAAGGAAGCCCAGGGAAGAUAAAGACCAUGGAAGAGAAGUGUGCAGCAGAGAAGCAGAUGAGGCCAGAGCAGAAAGAGGGAGGAGUGGUCAUGGUACUUUAUCCCUGAUGUGCAGAAGUGAGGAAAGGUGGAGGGAAAGGAUCCAGGUAUGUCACUGCCUUUAAUAAAUAGAGAGAACUUUAGAGGUGAAUUUGGACAGCUGAUGGAUUCAGUCCUGCUGGCUAGGGACACAGAGGCUGACAAUAGUGGCAACAGUGAGGACAGGUCAACAGCUGAGCAGAUAGCAAGGGAAAAGAGUCCUGAGUCCAUGGGUUGGCGGGGAGGUGGCAGAAGAAGUAAGGCUGGAUGCUGAUGGGGAAGUGGGGGGUUUCUGGAAAACGAUAGUAGAGAGAGGCAUAGGGGAACACCAUGUAAGAUUUAAAUUCAUGUUCAGGGCAGAAAGAGAGACUGCAGUUGGCUGCCAUGGGAAAGUGCCCAGUGGGAGUCAAGUCAAGGAGCUGAUAGGAAAAGAGAAGAGAAGUCAAUCCAGGAGAAAAUGGAAAGAUCUUGUGUGGUGGUUUUGGCUAAAGCAAAUGAGCCACUGUACAAAAGGGGAAGUCUGGAUGUAAAGCUCUCCAAAUGGGGGCACUGGCAAACUCAGGGCUCAGUCUGGUAGGAUGGAGAAUCAGUGUCAAGUCUUA